AACGAACGUUGGCGGCGUGGCUUAGGCAUGCAAGUCGAACGAGAAAGUUUCCUUCGGGGAGCGAGUAUAGUGGCAAAAGGGUGAGUAAUGAUUAGUUAACCUACCCCUAAAACUGGGAUAACUACCCGAAAGGGUUGCUAAUACCGGAUGGUCUAUGAGAGAUGCAUAUCUUUUAUAGUAAAGGCGCUCGCAAGGGUGUCGAUUAGGGAGGGGAUUAAUUCCUAUUAGCUAGUUGGUGAGGUAAUGGCUCUACCAAGGCAUUGAUGGGUAACCGAUCUGAGAGGAUGACCGGUCACACUGGGACUGAGACACUGCCCAGACUCCUACGGGAGGCUGCAGUCGCGAAUAUUCCGCAAUGGACGCAAGUCUGACGGAGCGACGCCGCGUGUGGGAUGAAGGCCUUAGGGUUGUAACCACUGUCACACUUUAAGAAAUCAAUUAGGGUAACUCCUAGUUGUUGACAAAGGAGUGGAAGGAAGUCACGGCUAACUACGUGCCAGCAGCCGCGGUAAGU
RNAcentral lists this ribosomal RNA (514 nucleotides) under uncultured bacterium. Its description in RNAcentral is "bacterial SSU rRNA". It matches the Rfam family "Bacterial small subunit ribosomal RNA", at positions 29 to 525 of the family's 1533-position model. The record is from RNAcentral.